GAACUAUUGGCAGGUGCAUUCGCUAUUCGCAGCCUCACGCCGGAACGGGCGAAUUGUUGCGUGAUGCUCAAGAUGGACAAUGUAUCAGCGGUCCGAUACAUCAAUCACCUGGGAGGCACGAAAUCGCGCAUGUUAGCUCUCAUGGCGAAGGACUUCUGGCAAUUUUGCCUUCACAACAGCAUUUCCGUGCAGGCGGAACAUAUUCCGGGUCUGGACAACUCAACGGCCGAUUGGAACUCACGCUAUUUGAGAGAUUCUGGAGAUUGGCGCUUGCACGCUACGGCCUUCCAGGGUCUGGACCACAUUUGGGGCCCAUUCGACGUGGACCUUUUCGCGUCCCGUCUCAACGCGCAAGUACCCAAGUUCUUCAGUUGGAGACCGGACCCGGCGGCAGUAGCAACGGAUGCGUUCCUUCAAGACUGGCCACGGACUCGGCUCUACGCUUUUCCCCCGUUCAAUAUGAUAGCUCGCACGCUGUCGAAACUGACGCAACACGGCAGCUCGUUGGUACUGAUCACACCACUAUGGCGGUCUCGGCCUUGGUUCCCUCGGCUGCUGGAACUGACA
Pelobates cultripes (western spadefoot toad) is the source of this 567-nucleotide non-coding RNA. NCBI's taxonomy places the organism in Eukaryota, Metazoa, Chordata, Amphibia, Anura, Pelobatidae. The record is from the annotation of a GenBank genome assembly.